CAAAAGCCACUCACCAUGGACUUAGGGCUCAUACUGGUUUUCUUUAUCCUUAUUUUAAAAGGUGUCCAGUGUGAAGUGCAGUUGUCAGAGUCUGGCGGAGGCUUAGUGCAGCCUGGAAAGUCCCUGAAACUCUCCUGUGCAGCCUCUGGAUUCACCUUUAGUAGUUACCCAAUGAACUGGAUACGCCAGGCUCCAAGGAAGGGGCUGGAGUGGGUCACAUCCAUUAGUAGUGAGGGUGGUAUCAUGACCUAUAUUGACGCUGUGAAGGGUCGGUUCACAAUCUCCAGAGACAAUGCCAAGAACACUCUGUACCUGGAAAUGAGCAAUCUGAGGUCUGAGGACACAGCCAUGUAUUACUGUGUGCUAAGGCACAGUGAGUGA
This is a non-coding RNA of Chionomys nivalis (European snow vole), 381 nucleotides long. The record is from the annotation of a RefSeq genome assembly. Lineage: Eukaryota; Metazoa; Chordata; Mammalia; Rodentia; Cricetidae.